CCCUCGGCGGCCGCCGGCUCAGUCCGCGGGACCGGCGAGGAGGGGCCGGGCCUGGCCUGGCCGGGGCACAAAGGCAGGCGCGGCCGCUCCCCCCGGAGCUGCGGAGCCGGCGCGGAGGGAGUUUGGAGCCCGUUCAACGCUGGGGAGCGGAAGGUCAGGCCGGGAGGAAGGGGCGCCCCGCCGGCCUGCGGGAGCCGCGGCCUUUCGCAGCCUCAGGGCGAGAGCUGGGCCCCAAACCCCGGCCCUGCAAGUGCUUGAGCCGCUCUGUGCCAGCAGGGACUUUGAAAACACACGUAGCGGGUGUUCGCACCGAUCGCUUUUGAGGCUACAGUCGAGUACAACGCACAGAAGGAGAGUAAAUUUGUCACGCUCCCUUCAGGGUGCGACGAAGUUGGGGGAAACUCAGGACACCGGCAGAACGCGCUGCCGGCUGCCCCAACCCCGCGGGCUGGGGACGCAAAGUACAGCGGGGGUUAAAAGAGCCAAGGCCUGUAUUUUUCAGAAGCUGAAGAUGGUUGGGAGUACCAGAGUGUUGGAGGUUUCAUAGAGAGAAGCAGCAAAGUUUUCGUGUGCUGUUUGUUCCAGGAACGAGGAGGCUGUCCCCAGGGUUGUGCUGCCAGGCGUCUCCUGUCGUCCCGGUGCUUCCCGAUCAGAGCCAAGCUGCAGAGCCCUUCUGUUCGGGACACCCGUUUCAACCUGCUCAUUGACUAAAAAUCACAGAGUGAGUCAUAACUCUGGGCUUGUACAUCUUCACGGCCAUUUCCAUUCUUAGUUUCUGGUGCCUGAACCCAAAGUGCUGACUGUUUGCACUUCGCCAGUGCAUUUUUUUUUUUCCCCCCAUGGUGUUUGAACACUUGUGAUGCUACUGAAGAAACCAGUAUCUUUUGGCAGGGGGUUGACAGAAUCACAGGAGAAACACUCAGGAUAGAGAAGAUGAAGGGAACAGCCAUGUGGAGCAGCAGAAAGAGAAGGAGCUGCUGGAGCUGGCAACGUGGCUGGACUGAACCUGCCCUGCUCCUGUCCCUGGCAGGGGUGCAGGGCAGGUGAUGGACACCGUGUCUCUGAGCUGCAAGGCUCUUCAGAUGUUCUCGUGCUCACUCUGUGGGAACACAUCUCAAGAUGUGGGGCUGAAGUAUGUCGAGUGCUGUGGAACAGAGUUCCAGCUGCUUUUCCCCCCAGGGACGCUUGUUUUGGGGAGCACACAUACAUUCAUUCCCUGAGGAACUGUGCCUUUUCCUGGACUCCAACCUCAUAUUCUAAUUAUUAUUUUUUUGUCCCCAGGAGUCUGCUAUCCACCAAACCACCUCUAACCCUGGGGAUGUGGGACAGGACCAUGUUUCAAACUGUCAGACACAAUUAUAGACUCAUAUUCAUUUAUCUGCUGCUCUCACAAUAGAUCAGACAAGUCAGAUAAGACUUCUACCUCUGUAUUCCUGUCCCUGGGAUAUGUAAUAGGCCUUUAUACUCUGAAAUGGCUCACUGGAAGGAGGCUGCUGAAAACAGCACAGCCAGCAUCUGUGUGCAGAGGGAAACAAUUAUCUUGCUUUUCCUUAGCUGCAGAAUUACAGCCCAGAGGUGAGGAAACUUUGCUCCUUACACCAUAUUCCCCCUAAUGCCACACCAGAGGGAAAAAAAAAAGGGUGCUUGUAUUCAUGUAUCCUCUCAGACCAGGACAAUUUACAUAUGAAUGCACUUGAAAAAGAAAAUUAAAGUCAAAGCUAUGUCCAGAAGCCUGGCAAAUGUUCCUGUGCACGUGCAGUUUGCUUGGAAGGGGGGAGGCUGGCAGCUGCUGGAGAGCUCUGCCUUUAUCAGUGGAGGUGGCAUCUUAUGGCUCUGCAGAGCACGUUGCCUUGGACUUGAAAGGAGAGCAGAGCCUCUCCCCAGGGUCCCAGUAGGGAUGAUUUCUCUUCCUGACCCGUGAUCUUGGCGGAAAUGACAGCAGUGGUCCCUGUCCCCUUAUGGAUGGAUGACAAAGUCACAAGCACUAAUUGGACCCCUUGUUAGGAUGGCCGGAAUGGCAGGGAAACAUUCAUGUCUUCAAAAUGAAACAUCUUCCCCGACCUCAGGAUCUGCUCAUCCCAUUUGUGGCUUAUUGCAGGGGGUCGGAACGGGUGCUCAUUAUUGCUGCCUCUGGAUACAUUAGAGCCAGCAGAGAUCAGUCACACAUAAAGCAGGCGGUGCCAGCAGCUUUGAGUCCUAUUCCCCCUGUUCCCAUUCUCUGGGAAAGAUGGGCCAUCUGGGCUCAUUCCUGAGACCCUGAAAUUGCUCCCACCGUGCCUCGCUGAAGGAUUUGCGUCUCGCUUGGGACCUGCUCUGCCCAUCCUUUUCCUGCCUGGAUUUGGUCUCUGCUCGGGGACCGGGACCCGUUUCUCCUCUAGAUGGUGCAACUGCCAUUGGACACCAAAAAAAGCACCGAGAUGCGGCCAGACCCCAGCUCCUGCGGCAGAAUGUGGGGUGCAACCGGCCCUGGGGGCUGCUCCCGGCUCCCCCCGACCCCUUCCAGGUCUCUCCCGCUGACAGGACGGGGCACAGGCUCCCGUGUGCCUCCCGCCCCGGGGCUGUGCUGGGCAGCAUCACCCGCGGCACAGGGCCAGGUGGAGCCGAGGGAUGAGAAAUCCGUCUCCUGCUGUUCCUGGCUUUUCUGUCCUUGGCAGAGCACGGCCCGGCAGUGCCCGGGGGAGAUGCUGGCAGAGCGCAGCGGAAGGCGGAGGAGAGGGGACAGUUCCUGGGGGUGGCCCCGUGCCUGGUGGCAAUCGGGCUCUUUCCGUUCCUGCUGGGUGCGGAACGGGCCGGCUGGAGGAGCCGCGGGGCCAACACAGCCCGGGGUUUAGAAACCCCGCUCGCCUGCCAGCCCCGGGCUCACCUGCCAGCCCCGGGCUCACCUGCCAGCCCCGGACUCACCUCCAGGUGAGGAGGGUUGCGGCUGCCAAGCCCGCGGGGCUGCCCGGGAGAACGGAACAGACCGAACCGCCCCGCCCCACCCGGGGAUCCAGCCUCUCCACUCAUCCCACGGCAGCAAGAAGGACACAGACAGAGAUGCUCCUCUCCUCCAGGGCCACCACUCUAGAGAGCCACCUCCUGGUCGCAGCAGGGCGUUUAUGGCUUAGGGGUUGUGUCAGGGCAGGGUGAGGUUGGCCAGGUUUGCCAGCUCCCCUGAGCAGGUGAGGACAGGUAAGGGCAGGUGAGGAUAGCCCCUGGGAGCCAGGCAGGUUGGAUCUGGGACCCUGCAGGCACAAGGGGAAUCCUAAGCACAGUUCUCAUUGUAAUACUCCCCAUUUGUUUAGGAUAAAACCAAAUAAAUACAAGCUUCAUGAUUUGGGUGAAACAAUAGCAGAGCUUCCAGCAUACAGAAAGGUUUCCUCCCGUCAAGCUUUGCUGGCAAGUUUUAGAGCCUGGAUUUUAAA
Molecule: long non-coding RNA, 3404 nt
Organism: Apus apus (common swift)
Lineage: Eukaryota; Metazoa; Chordata; Aves; Apodiformes; Apodidae
Exons: 3
Source: RefSeq, a predicted model, not a curated record